GAUGAACGCUGACAGAAUGCUUAACACAUGCAAGUCAACUUGAACUUCGGUUUGGGUGGCGGACGGGUGAGUAACGCGUAAAGAACUUGCCUCACAGAUAGGGACAACAUUUGGAAACGAAUGCUAAUACCUGAUAUUAUGAUUUUAGGGCAUCCUAGGAUUAUGAAAGCUAUAUGCACUGUGAGAGAGCUUUGCGUCCCAUUAGCUAGUUGGAGAGGUAACGGCUCACCAGGGCGAUGAUGGGUAGCCGGCCUGAGAGGGUGAUCGGCCACAAGGGGACUGAGACACGGCCCUUACUCCUACGGGAGGCAGCAGUGGGGAAUAUUGGCCAAUGGACCAAGAGUCUGAUCCAGCAAUUCUGUGUGCACGAUGAAGUUUUUCGGAAUGUAAAGUGCUUUCAGUUGGGAAGAAAAAAAUGACGGUACCAACAGAAGAAGUGACGGCUAAAUACGUGCCAGCAGCCGCGGUAAUACGUAUGUCACAAGCGUUAUCCGGAUUUAUUGGGCGUAAAGCGCGUCUAGGUGGUUAUGUAAGUCUGAUGUGAAAAUGCAGGGCUCAACUCUGUAUUGCGUUGGAAACUGUGUAACUAGAGUACUGGAGAGGUAAGCGGAACUACAAGUGUAGAGGUGAAAUUCGUAGAUAUUUGUAGGAAUGCCAAUGGGGAAGCCAGCUUACUGGACAGAUACUGACGCUGAAGCGCGAAAGCGUGGGUAGCAAACAGG
RNAcentral lists this ribosomal RNA (722 nucleotides) under uncultured Fusobacterium sp. RNAcentral describes it as "bacterial SSU rRNA". It matches the Rfam family "Bacterial small subunit ribosomal RNA", at positions 28 to 776 of the family's 1533-position model. Lineage: Bacteria; Fusobacteriati; Fusobacteriota; Fusobacteriia; Fusobacteriales; Fusobacteriaceae. The record is from RNAcentral.